AGGAGCAGGGCGAAGAUAUUGAAAACUUUCAAGGCUGCUGCAGGAACAUAAACGGCCACUGUGAUUCCUGAGGGACAGGUCAUUUGAAUGCUUAUGGAUAUGGGCACCCUAUAGACCAAAAUGUGUGAAAAAUGCUGGGUGGGAGCCACCAGCCCAGGCUUGGGUCAGAAGGAAAAACAAGGGAAAUGUUGCUCCUCCUUCUGCCACAGACACUGCCUCUUCUGUCAGAAGUACUUACAUUUUUGUCUGAUAUUCUGCUGAUAAAAUUCCACUGAUGGAAUAGCAACUAUAGCAAACCUUCAUGCUUGCUGAAUUUGUGAACAAGAAGGGAAUAAGGGCCACACUAAACAAACAAAAGUCAAUCAUCAAGAAAUAAGUGGGGAUUUUAGCCUGCCCAAAGAAAAGAGUGUGGCUGUAGCAGCAAACAGUUGAUCCAGUGUGCCAUAAAUUUCCAAUUCAGAUGGCAGCAGAGGUCUCAGUGAAAG
Prinia subflava (tawny-flanked prinia) is the source of this 485-nucleotide long non-coding RNA. RefSeq lists it as uncharacterized. The transcript has 4 exons. Lineage: Eukaryota; Metazoa; Chordata; Aves; Passeriformes; Cisticolidae. The record is from RefSeq and is a predicted model, not a curated record.